CGCGUUUAAUUUUCGUUCGCCUUGGAUCUCUGCUGCUGGCUGCCGGCAGUUGUUAAUUAUUUUUGUGUUUUGUGAAAUUUGCAAAAAAGCUAGCCAAUUAUAAGACAAGUGAAAAGAAUACAAAACCUACACAGUGUGGUGGAACUUUAACAAAAAAACGCUAAAGAGACGCGUGAAGAGCCACAAAUAGAGAGUUCGAAAACGUGUUUCUGAACACACGAACAAAAAAAAGAAAGAAGAGUAUUGAGGCCCUCCGAAAAAGUGGUGUGUGGAGUGGACAUAGUGCAAAAUUAUGCCAAAUAGACGUGCAAACGACAAUAAAUUUCCCAUCAAAUUCGGAUUUUUAAGGGUUUGAGAACAACGAAACCUGAAAAUCCUUCAGUUUGUUGAAAAAUGUGGCGUUUGAAUUAAUUGUUAUAAAACAGCUGUUUAAGAAACCACCAUCUUUGUUUCGCCAGAAAAAGUCUUCUUCUUCUUCUCCCCAGGCCGUGUCGUCGUCGUCACCGUCGUCGCGCAAAAAUUGUAAUAAAAAGCAAAAAAGAAAAAUUGUGAAUGAUUGUGUGACGAGAGGGCAAAAACAACGUUACUAAGGAAAAAAAGAAAGAAGACACAGCAGAGAGAUAAUUUAAAAAGAAAUCAAACAACAAAAGUAGAAGAAGCAGUGGCCACAAUCGCAAGAGUUCAACAACAACAACAACAGCAGCAGCAGCAGUAGCAGCAUCUGCAAAAACCGUUGGACUAGCGAAAAUCAACAUAAUCAUUUUCGUCUCCGCACAUACAGCACCCAACUCACCUCAAGCCAAUACAAGCAAAUAGCAGCCAGCCACCCAGCCGACAUUAGCGCCGCAAGCAACAACAGCAACAACAAAACAAACCACAAAAAUGCUUUACGUGCAAAGUUAACUUUUUCCAUCUCCCCCCCAAAACCGCCCAACAAAAAACCAAGAAUUUUUGUUUUUGUUUUUCUCUCUUUUUUUUUUGUUAAAUUGAACUUUUUGCGAUUUCCUUCUAUUUACUUUAAACUUUUUCUCCCACAUUUUUGUAAUCACUUACUUUUACGUUUCCAUCGAUUCAUUCAUAAAACCGACUAAAACUUUUUUUUUUGUUUGUUCUUGGGCACAAAACAUCUCGUUUCUACAGUUUCUUAUUCUUGUGUUAUUUGCUAUUCUUGACCCCUUACAUACCUUCAAACUCUUGCAAGGAGUUUUUGUUUUGUGAUACAACCGUGGUGGGUCGAGACCGUCUGGCUGUGGUUCGUUCUGAGUAAAGCUGAGCAUUCAACCCAGUUGCUGGAACGUCAUUCGUUGGUUGGUUUGUGUCACAUCGCCAUCACCAUCAUCAUCAAAACAAUCAUCAGUUGCGCUGCGUCGUUUUGACAUUCGAGAUUAUUGGAGCCACCCCCACCCCGUCAUAUGCAGUCGUGGGCAGUUUAUUUCGUUUUUUAAGCGAGCCGAAAUAAUUUCAUCAACACUACUCUACUUGUUUUUCUACCCACAUACGUACAAUAACAACAAUAAAAUAAGCCUCCUUCUCCUGCUUGAGCUAAAGUAAAUAUAGCCAGACAACAGCAACAACAAAAACAACACCAGACAACUCACCCGCCGUCUUUGGAAAGAAGCACCUCCUAUCUAAGAAUUUACUCAGGCCUAUAAAGCAGAUAAAAACUCUUUCUUUUUUUUGUCUUUGUUCAAUUCAAACAACUUCCUUCAGCAACUGCGCAAAGUCAAUAAGCAAAGAUGGUGAAAGAAAAGCCAAAUUCCACACGCAUCUACGAUAAGGAUGGCUUUCGCAGACGUGCUGCCUGCAUAUGCGUACGUUCCGAGGCAGAAGCUGAGGUUCUGCUUGUGACUUCAUCAAGACGUCCCGAAUUGUGGAUAGUGCCAGGCGGUGGAGUAGAGCCAGAGGAAGAACCUUCGGUAACGGCUGUUAGAGAGGUAUUGGAGGAGGCCGGUGUUAUGGGCAAAUUAGGCAGAUGCUUAGGAGUUUUCGAGAAUCAAGAUCACAUGCAUCGCACGGAAGUUUUUGUUAUGACCGUUACCAAAGAACUGGAAGAAUGGGAAGAUUCACGUAGCAUUGGUCGCAAACGCCAAUGGUUUUCCAUCGAUGAUGCCCUGACCCAGUUGGCUUUGCAUAAACCCACACAACGACAUUAUCUGAUGCAGUUGCGACAUUCGAAAAACAAUUCAAAUUCAAAUUCAACAACAAAUUCACCCACUACAGCUGCACCAACCACAGCAUAAACGUGCAUACCUCAUUUAUUAUCCUCAGAAACAAAAAUCAAAUAUACACUACAUACACACACACACACACGCGCAGACAAAACACUAUCCCAAACACACAUUAUUUCUCUCUCCCCUCAUUCAAAAUAUAUGCAGAAUUUGUUUAAUUGAAAGAUUUCGAUUGCCACAUGAUAAUACCAAGUUACCAUUUUCUUUUGCCGCCAUUGAAAAUUACGCGAUAAAGGUGACUUCAAAUGGAAGAUCUUAAAAUUCAAUACCUACCAAUUAACGAAAAAUUUAUAUUAUAGGCAGACAGAAAAUUCCCUCCCAGAAUCCAGUCUCACAUUUCCUUGUCUUUGAUAACAGAAAAAAAAAUGAUCCUUACAACCUACACACACAAUUUUUGGAAGAAGAAAUUAUGAUAAAACAAAACAACUUUUUUAAAUAUUUAAAAACGAAUAAGAUGAAAAUAAUUUAUAAUAAAAAAAAAACAAAAACAAAAUCAAAACUUAAAACUAUUAUAAACAUUUUGCACUUCUUUUUUCUACGGCUACAUUUUUUUGUAUAAGUUUUAUUAAAAAUCCUCCCUACCCCCUCAAGAAAACAAAAACAACAAGGACAAAACAAACCAUACAAAAAAAAACUGUUAAAUAUAAAUUAUUAGCAUUAAACUAUAAGAAUAAUAAAACAAAUAUAUAUAUAUAUAUAGAAUUAAAUAAGAAGAAACACAAUUUUUAGUGAGACUAAAUUCAUUUGAAAAGGAUAUACAUAUAUACAUACCUAUAUACAACAAUUGAAAUAAACCAGCUCGCUCUUGCUUUGUAUGUAACGAAUGAACGAAAGACGGAAUUAUGUAUUGAAAACCAAAUUAAUUCAUGUUAAAUACACAUUACAAAACUCAUCUGGUCUUCAAGGAAA
This is an RNA transcript of Stomoxys calcitrans (stable fly), 3137 nucleotides long. It is a transcript of the gene named diphosphoinositol polyphosphate phosphohydrolase 2, with no coding region annotated. The transcript has 5 exons. The record is from RefSeq and is a predicted model, not a curated record. Lineage: Eukaryota; Metazoa; Arthropoda; Insecta; Diptera; Muscidae.